Molecule: ribosomal RNA, 1318 nt
Filed under: uncultured prokaryote
Description: partial 16S ribosomal RNA
Rfam family: Bacterial small subunit ribosomal RNA
Source: RNAcentral
AACGAACGCUGGCGGCAGGCCUAACACAUGCAAGUCGAACGAGAAGCAUCCUUCGGGAUGUGGAAAGUGGCAGACGGGUGAGUAACGCGUGGGAAUCUACCCAGUUCUACGGAACAACACAGAGAAAUUUGUGCUAAUACCGUAUACGCCCUCCGGGGGAAAGAUUUAUCGGAGCUGGAUGAGCCCGCGUUUGAUUAGCUAGUUGGUGAGGUAAUGGCUCACCAAGGCGACGAUCAAUAGCUGGUCUGAGAGGAUGAUCAGCCACACUGGGACUGAGACACGGCCCAGACUCCUACGGGAGGCAGCAGUGGGGAAUAUUGGACAAUGGGCGCAAGCCUGAUCCAGCCAUGCCGCGUGAGUGAAGAAGGCCUUCGGGUUGUAAAGCUCUUUUACCUGUGAUGAUAAUGACAGUAGCAGGAGAAAAAGCUCCGGCUAACUUCGUGCCAGCAGCCGCGGUAAUACGAAGGGAGCGAGCGUUGUUCGGAAUUACUGGGCGUAAAGCGUGCGUAGGCGGUUUAGCAAGUUAGAAGUGAAAGCCCUGGGCUCAACCUAGGAAUUGCUUUUAAAACUGCUAAACUAGAAUCUCGGAGGGGAUGGUGGAAUUUCCAGUGUAGAGGUGAAAUUCGUAGAUAUUGGAAGGAACACCAGUGGCGAAGGCGACCAUCUGGACGAGUAUUGACGCUGAGGCACGAAAGCGUGGGGAGCAAACAGGAUUAGAUACCCUGGUAGUCCACGCCGUAAACGAUGUAAACUAGCCGUUGGGACCUUAGGUUUCAGUGGCGCAGCUAACGCACUAAGUUUACCGCCUGGGGAGUACGGCCGCAAGGUUAAAACUCAAAGGAAUUGACGGGGACCCGCACAAGCGGUGGAGCAUGUGGUUUAAUUCGAUGCAACGCGCAGAACCUUACCAGCCCUUGACAUCCCGAUUGGGAGGAGCAGAGAUGCACCUCUUCAUUUAGUUGGAUCGGUGACAGGUGCUGCAUGGCUGUCGUCAGCUCGUGUCGUGAGAGAUGUUGGGUUAAGUCCCGCAACGAGCGCAACCCCUGUUAUCAGUUGCCAUCAGUUCGGCUGGGCACUCUGAUGAGACUGCCGGUGAUAAGCCGGAGGAAGGCGGGGAUGACGUCAAGUCCUCAUGGCCCUUAUGGGCUGGGCUACACACGUGCUACAAUGGCAGAUACAAUGAGCAGCCAACCCGCGAGGGCGAGCUAAUCUUUAAAAUCUGUCUCAGUUCGGAUUGUUCUCUGCAACUCGAGAGCAUGAAGUCGGAAUCGCUAGUAAUCGUGGAUCAGCAUGCCACGGUGAAUACGUUCCCGGGUCU